RNAcentral lists this transfer RNA (72 nucleotides) under Helianthus annuus (common sunflower). It matches the Rfam family "tRNA". Rfam says of the family: Transfer RNA (tRNA) molecules are approximately 80 nucleotides in length. Lineage: Eukaryota; Viridiplantae; Streptophyta; Magnoliopsida; Asterales; Asteraceae. The record is from RNAcentral.
GUUCAGGUAGCUCAGCUGGUUAGAGCAAAGGACUGAAAAUCCUUGUGUCAGUGGUUAUCUUUUAUCCUAACA